Neofelis nebulosa (Clouded leopard) is the source of this 1541-nucleotide long non-coding RNA. RefSeq lists it as uncharacterized. The transcript has 4 exons. Lineage: Eukaryota; Metazoa; Chordata; Mammalia; Carnivora; Felidae. The record is from RefSeq and is a predicted model, not a curated record.
AAACAGCACGGUGGGAUGGGACGCUCACCUGAGUGAACCCAGCGGCCUCCAGGCUGCUCCCGCCAACAUCCACAGGCCAGUUCAGCCCACGCAGGCCGCGCGCUUUGCCUGCGCCCCGGAGCAAGGAGGGACACAGUCACAGCGGGGGCUCAGAUGACAUGGCCUCCACCCGCCCUGAUGGUUAGCUGAUAACCGGCACCUCUCGGUGGCGGACCGGCAGCUACUCUGGGAUCCUGACCGUGGCUCUGAGCCAGGGACGCACCCCAGGUAUCUCACGAAAAAUCAAAAUAACACAGAGAUGGAGAAUCUGUAACAAAAGCACCAUUGUUGAAGGCUGUUCCAUAAAGUACAGUGAAUGAAGCAGAAGAUCACCAUGGAGUUGCAUGUCGCUUGCUCAUGGAAACUGGUCUGACAGAGCAGCACUCCAUCCUCAGACACGGGUCUCAUGAAGAACCAGGGCGGCGUGUGGAGCAAGGUGGAUGAGCACAUGCCUCGCACGAUACUAAGCACUGGCGAAGAGAAAGGAGGAGUAAGACUCAGACUUGGGGACCGCUGGAGAAAGAGAAGUGUGAACAAACCAUUACAAUGCAAUGCCAUACAUGCGAGCAAAGAUCUUGGAGCAAGUGUUUGAGUCGAAGCUUCUGACUUAUCCUUGGAAAGACUUCACAGGAGAAGCAGUGUCCCACCUAGCUCUUCAAGGAAGAGGAAAGGCCAGGUGUGUGAAGGAGCGAUUUACACACUUUCCACCUCUGGCUCUUCAUGAUCUCUUGCAAAGUAGGCAGGGCAGUUGCUGUGUCUCUACUUCCCAGGAAGAACCGGGAGCAGAACACGUCAGAACAUGUUGUGCAGGAGCUCCUGGCUCUAAAGAGAAGUGAAGUGGGCCCCAAACUCAAGCUCUGAAUCCUAAUCCAGUGCUCUUUCUACCCUCUUUCUACCGUGCCUCCUGGUUUCCCUAAGUAACGUGGAUGACCAUGAGUUCAGCCCCGGAGGGGGUCAGGUGUUUCUUAUUUUCUCAGCUAAAAUGAGUAGAGCAACCCAAUUCAUUUAAUUUAUUGCAUUUUCCCCUUCCAUUUUUCAUAAUUCCUUCAUUUAUGAGGCCAGAGUUCUCAGUAAUUCCCCUUCCUGGAAUCUUCCCUAAGGAAAUAAUCAGAGAGGUGGACAUAAAUUUAUGUACAAAAACUCGCCUAGGAGAACUAUUUAUAAUAACAGAAAAUAGGAAGCAACCUAAAUUUCCAACAAAAACAGACUAGUGGGCAGGCGCUAAACAUCUUUCCAGGCAUUUUAAUGGCAUUUUUUAAAUGCUUACAAUUAAUGUUAUUAUUUUUUUUAACAAAAGGACAGGAUAAAAACCCAUGAUUCCAAUUUUGUUGGGUAUACAUGCCAAUAUAUGCAGAGGAAAAAGAAAGGCUUUCAGCAAGAUGCUCACAGUGGCCAUCUUGGCGCUAUUUGUUUGUAUUGUUUAUGUUUUUCACAGUGUGCAUUUUACCAUCAGAAAAAUAAAUAUAAAUAAAGAUUGUUGAGUAAACUACAAAAGUCAUCAA